Molecule: ribosomal RNA, 400 nt
Filed under: uncultured bacterium
Lineage: Bacteria
Description: bacterial SSU rRNA
Rfam family: Bacterial small subunit ribosomal RNA
Source: RNAcentral
GACGAACGCUGGCGGCAUGCCUAACACAUGCAAGUCGAGCGCCCGUAGCAAUACGGGAGCGGCGCACGGGUGAGUAACGCGUGGGAACCUGCCCAGAGGUCUGGGACAACCGCGGGAAACUGCGGCUGAUACCGGAUGAUUCCUGAGGGACAAAGAUUUAUCGCCUUUGGAGGGGCCCGCGUCGGAUUAGGUAGUUGGUGGGGUAACGGCUCACCAAGCCUAUGAUCCGUAACUGGUCUGAGAGGAUGACCAGUCACACUGGGACUGAGACACGGGCCCAGACUCCUACGGGAGGCAGCAGUGGGGAGUAUUGGACAAUGGGGGCAACCCUGAUCCAGCAAUGCCGCGUGGGUGAUGAAGGCCUUGGGUUGUAAAGCCCUUUCGGCGGGACGAUGAUGAC